This 253-nucleotide ribosomal RNA is filed under the name uncultured bacterium. RNAcentral describes it as "partial 16S ribosomal RNA". It matches the Rfam family "Bacterial small subunit ribosomal RNA", at positions 524 to 776 of the family's 1533-position model. The record is from RNAcentral.
UACGUAGGUGGCGAGCGUUAUCCGGAAUUACUGGGCGUAAAGGGCGUGUAGGCGGCACUGUAAGUCAGAUGUGAAAUCUCUCGGCUCAACCGGGAGAGGGCGUCUGAUACUGCAGUGCUUGAGUGAUUGAGGGGAAAGCGGAAUUCCUGGUGUAGCGGUGAAAUGCGUAGAUAUUAGGAGGAACACCAGUGGCGAAGGCGGCUUUCUGGCUAUUAACUGACGCUGAGGCGCGAAAGCGUGGGGAGCAAACGGG